GACGAACGCUGGCGGCGUGCUUAACACAUGCAAGUCGAACGGAAAGGCCCUGCUUUUGUGGGGUGCUCGAGUGGCGAACGGGUGAGUAACACGUGAGUAACCUGCCCUUGACUUUGGGAUAACUUCAGGAAACUGGGGCUAAUACCGGAUAGGAGCUCCUGCUGCAUGGUGGGGGUUGGAAAGUUUCGGCGGUUGGGGAUGGACUCGCGGCUUAUCAGCUUGUUGGUGGGGUAGUGGCUUACCAAGGCUUUGACGGGUAGCCGGCCUGAGAGGGUGACCGGCCACAUUGGGACUGAGAUACGGCCCAGACUGCUACGGGGGGCAGCAGUGGGGAAUAUUGCACAAUGGGCGGAAGCCUGAUGCAGAAACGCCGCGUGCGGGAUGACGGCCUUCGGGUUGUAAACCGCUUUCGCCUGUGACGAAGCGUGAGUGACGGUAAUGGGUAAAGAAGCACCGGCUAACUACGUG
Molecule: ribosomal RNA, 468 nt
Filed under: uncultured bacterium
Lineage: Bacteria
Description: partial 16S ribosomal RNA
Rfam family: Bacterial small subunit ribosomal RNA
Source: RNAcentral